CCAUAUGGUGGAAGGCAAGAACACA
RNAcentral lists this non-coding RNA (25 nucleotides) under Cricetulus griseus (Chinese hamster). Lineage: Eukaryota; Metazoa; Chordata; Mammalia; Rodentia; Cricetidae. The record is from RNAcentral.